Molecule: ribosomal RNA, 254 nt
Filed under: uncultured prokaryote
Description: partial 16S ribosomal RNA
Rfam family: Bacterial small subunit ribosomal RNA
Source: RNAcentral
UACGGAGGGUGCAAGCGUUAUCCGGAUUCACUGGGUUUAAAGGGUGCGUAGGUGGGCAGGUAGGUCAGUGGUGAAAUCUCCGGGCUUAACUCGGAACGGUCAGAUGAUACUGCUUUGCUCGAGUGCGGAAGGGGCAAUCGGAAUUCUUGGUGUAGCGGUGAAAUGCGUAGAUAUCAAGAGGAACACCUGAGGUGAAGACGGGUUGCUGGGCCGACACUGACGCUGACAGCGCGAAAGCCAGGGGAGCAAACGGG